RNAcentral lists this transfer RNA (77 nucleotides) under Candidatus Uhrbacteria bacterium RIFOXYA2_FULL_40_9. RNAcentral's name for it is "tRNA-Arg". It matches the Rfam family "tRNA". Rfam says of the family: Transfer RNA (tRNA) molecules are approximately 80 nucleotides in length. The record is from RNAcentral. Lineage: Bacteria; Candidatus Uhriibacteriota. RNAcentral also lists the same sequence under 2 other names.
GCGGGCGUAGCUCAACUGGAUAGAGCAUCAGUCUUCGGAACUGAGGGUCGGGGGUUCGAGUCCCUCCGCCCGCACCA